UUAUUUUCUUACCUUGUAUACUUUCAUUUCAAAAAACAUUUGCAAGAAAACUCACUCAAACUCCUCCUACCACACGCCUAGUAUCAUCAUCCUUCAUCAAUUGGUGUUUUGUUCUUUUGCAAAUUGAAGUCGACUCGUGACCGGGAAUUGAAUAGGAGGCUUGAGAGUUGGUUAUCUUGCUUAAGCAAUAAGUUAAGUUGCAGGUCUGGGGAGUAAGGAUUGUUCUUUGGAGAAAUAAAUCGUUAAGGAUACAGAAGUCUUGAUAAGAGCUUCUAAUAAAGUUUAAAGAAUAUUUGGUUUUAUGAGGCGAUUUCGUUCUCAA
Long non-coding RNA from Amaranthus tricolor (Joseph's coat), 322 nucleotides. RefSeq lists it as uncharacterized. The record is from RefSeq and is a predicted model, not a curated record. NCBI's taxonomy places the organism in Eukaryota, Viridiplantae, Streptophyta, Magnoliopsida, Caryophyllales, Amaranthaceae. The transcript is spliced from 3 exons.